Molecule: small nuclear RNA, 79 nt
Filed under: Felis catus (domestic cat)
Lineage: Eukaryota; Metazoa; Chordata; Mammalia; Carnivora; Felidae
Description: U4 spliceosomal RNA
Rfam family: U4 spliceosomal RNA
About the family: U4 small nuclear RNA (U4 snRNA) is a component of the major U2-dependent spliceosome. The structure of U4 snRNA from yeast and human has been reported.
Source: Rfam by way of RNAcentral
AGCUUUGCGCAGUGGCGGUAUUAUAGCCAAUGAGGUUUACCCAACGCACGAUUAUUGCUAAUUCAAAAUUACACAGCCA